UCACCCCUCAAGCUCAGCUUGGUGUUGGGGCCUGCCCGUCACAGGGCAGCCCCUAAAAGCAGUGGCGGUGCCAUCUGGCUCUACGCGUAGUAAUACUUCUCGCGACAGAGUCCCGGUGGUGUCCUGCCAGAACCCCAAAUUUUAUCAC
RNAcentral lists this unclassified non-coding RNA (148 nucleotides) under Ascomycota sp. Its description in RNAcentral is "partial internal transcribed spacer 2". The record is from RNAcentral. Lineage: Eukaryota; Fungi; Ascomycota. RNAcentral also lists the same sequence under 1 other name.